Molecule: long non-coding RNA, 14371 nt
Filed under: Zostera marina
Lineage: Eukaryota; Viridiplantae; Streptophyta; Magnoliopsida; Alismatales; Zosteraceae
Description: long non-coding RNA (ZMAR_LNC003432)
Source: RNAcentral
ACGAUGGAUGCAGCUGCCAGAGCUGCGGCUGUUUCUGCCGCAACUUCUGUGCCAGGAAACGUUUGGUUGAUUUGGAGAAGAGGUCUUUCCUCCGUCAUUUCUUCUGGUCUUUCCCAACAUUUGUGGUCUAUUUUUGGAUCUCCCACCUAUAUUGGGAAUUAAAAAUCAAUAAUCAACAACACAUGAUUUAUCAAUAGAUAAUUAUAUAUUUAUAUAUAUUACCUGUACGAAGAGAACAUUCUUUCUAGGAUUUGCGUUAACAAGAUAAUCUGUGAUCCACUUAAGAGCGUCUCUGGUGUUUAUCAAUUCGCCAACAAGAAUCAUAUUGGAGUGAUAUUCAAGAAUCGCCCAUGACAGAACUGUCGCUGUGAAUGCCAUCGGAAAACCAAACUUUACAUGGUCUCCGGCAUCGUACAUUCCCUUGGAGAGAUCCAACAUCUCGUACUUCCCAUCACUAAGCGCCGAGUCCCCUCUCCAUGGGAUCAUAUCAUUCAUCAGUUUCCCAGCUAGACGUACCGAUCCAGGGUUAUAUUGAUCGAAUAUUAAUUGAAUUCAUGAUAAUUAAGGUAUUAAAUAUUAACAUAGAAGCUAGGCACAGACGUACACACAUUUUUGGACGUCGAAGAAUUUCAAGGCGACGGAGAGGGCUUCAGAAUAUUUCUUCUUUGUGACGAUAUCUUGAGGAUCUAGGGUCGGUGGAUUAAUGUUACCGGAAGAUUUGUCUAAACUCGUCUUCAUACAAAUAGCUAGAAUCAUGAUCAUUGAAACACCAAAUGAAAAUGCUAUAAUAGGUCUUCUCCAACGAAGCCAAAACGUCGACAUUGUUGUAGAGGAAGGAGAAACAACCAAUCAAACGAGAUUACGGUGAUAUGAUCGACAAUAUAUUGGUGUCUUGGAAGGAAUGAUUUGUGAAGAAGAUGAAGAUGAAUUGUGGAAUGGAACUCGUCUGUUCUAUAUUAGGUUCUUUUUCUAUUUAUAAUCCAUAUACAAUGCUAAAUUAGUGGAAUUCCAUCAAUUAUGACGUAUCCCUAAAUAAAUGGAGAUUACAACAUAUUUCCUAUAUUAACUUAUUGCUAAUCAAUGGAGAAUUAUCUCGCAAGAUUGGCUCGUUGAAGUUCAAAGCUUUGGUCAGAAAAUCAUCUCAGUAGGCUCCCGAAAUCUGCUACGAAGCACGAUUUAUCUCAGAGCUAAUAUAUGACGAAGCACGAAAUCUGCUACCAGUAGGCUCGCGGGGUUGCGAGGAGGGCCGGAGGCUUUGGAGUUCACGACGCGCGCUCUACGUCAAAUACCUGCAGAAGUGGAGGGGAGUUGGCGACUCAGGUGUGGGAGUCGGCGACUCAGGCUCCUUGGUUUGCUCUGGUUGGGGUCUGUCAAGUGGGAAUGACUUAGGAGUGGAGGACCCCCAAGGACCCCUUUUAUAGGGUCCUGGGGGCGUUUUCCCAUUCAUUAGCGUGGGGCUCACUCCAUUAUGGUGCCCAAUUAAGGGUGUCAUAAUGACGUGGGCCCUCUCAAGUAACGGUUGGGAAUCGGCGACUCAGGUAUGAGAGUCGCCGAUUCAGAGGUGGAGUCGUCGACUCCCUUGUGGUCAGGUCCUCGGUCUACCAUACCCGAGUGCCCUGUUUGGAGUCGGCGAUUCACCCCUGGAAUCGGUGACUUGGUAGUCCCAGUCGGCGAUUCUCAGGUGUUGCCUUGAGUACUUGACGUAGACACUUGCUCCGCACCGUGGAUGCCUUCCGGGGGUCCGGCGUAAAGCGAAGGAACCCUAGUACUUGUUGAGGGACGAUGCUGGGAGUGACUGACGUAAUCAGGCAUGUCUCACCAGUAUGCAUGAAUAAAGAACAUAAUAACUGUCUUGGUUAUUUGCCGAAAUCACUAUUGUUGAUCAUUCUCACAUCCUUCAUCAUGGUUAGAACUAGUCAAUCCCUUCCUUCCAUGUUCUCGUCCUCCACUACGAAUGCUGUUCCGAUCAUCAAUAUGGUAUAUAUCAGAGCAUUGUCCGAUCCUAGGACCACUCCACUCCCAACAUUUCCGCUACUAACCGGCCCUUAGACGUCGCUGGAACCCCUCGUCGGAACCUCAUCUUUUGGUUCAAUUCAGAGCUUCCCUCAUAUCAAGUUCACGACGACAAACUACCUCAUCUGGACCAAGCUUCGACCUCACUCCUUCUUUGUUUUUUCUAUAUUAACAUAAUUAAUUAAUAUUUGAAUAAUUUAAAUAUAAAAUAUUAAUAAUUACCAAUUCAUGACGUCGUUGCGCUAAUCUUUUUAAACCAGUAUGAUUAUUAGAGUAACUAAUAAUGUAACUAACUAACAAUGUAUCUAAGUUAGUUACUGCCUAAAUCAAUUACAGAAUGUAAUUAUAAAUAUAACUCUUGGAUGAUUAAUAAAGAUAACUUUUCUGGUCAACGUUAUAUGGUAUCGAGCUACAAGUUUUUUUUGUUUUAGCGAUGACUGGAGACUCGAAUGCUCCGGCAAUGGCUUCCGCAACUCAGAUUGCGACGAUGACGUCCACGCGACCGACGCUAAUUAAGAUUAAGCAUUUUAGCACUAUGCGCUUAGAUAGGUCAAACUAUUUUACCUGGAAGACCCAGACUCUGGCGCACCAUCGAGGUUAUGAACUCCUCUGGUUCAUUGAGGAAGCGGUGACGGAAUCGGACCCGUCCUUGGCACAACAAGACCAGCUACUGCUGUCAUGGUUGUUUUCGACGAUCUCUGCGUCGGUACUGCCGCAGGUGACUGGGUACAGAACGUCCAGGGAUGCCUGGGUUGUCUUGGAAGAAAUCUUCAAUACAAGAUCAAGGUCACAGAUUCUCUACCUGAAAAAUCAGCUACAAAAUCUUCGCAAGGAUGAUCUCUCCAUUGACGAAUAUGUGGCAAAGUUAACCACUAUGGCCGAAGAGCUUCGGGAGGCCGGUGUUUCAAUUGAUGAAGGUGAUCGAACUCUCGUUAAUAGCUCUAAAUGGCCUUGAUGCACAAUACGAUCCUUUUGUAACUGCUCAAACGGCUAGGAUGGAUGAAAUAAGUUUCUCUUCUUUUCUUGGUCUUCUCCGGUCGUAUGAGGCACGUCUUCAACGCACCGUCGAUACACGCAUCUCGACUGCGAAUGCUGUGCAACGUUCUGAAGCAACGAAUGGCGCAAGUGUGGCCGCGGUUAUCACAUGUCAAAUCUGUUCCAAGAGGGGACAUUCGGCCAUCGCGUGCUUCAAUCGGCACAAUGAACAACGCUUCCUGGCGCAACAGUCAAAAUCUAGGAAUCGCUUCAAGGGAUCUAGGUCGUCGAACACGAAUUCAAGUGCCAAUGUGGUUUGGUACCCGAAUACAAGGGCCUUCAAUCAUGUUACAACCGAUCUUGGAAAUCUUCAGGUAGCAGACGCGACACCAGCUGCAAAAUCGGUCACAAUAGCUAAUGGCAGGUAAAGUUUUGCCUAUUUUUCGCACUGGAUCUUCCGAUUUUCGAAUUGGAUCCCGAUCCAUUCAUCUUAGUCAUAUCUUGCACGCGUCUGGAAUAAAGAAAAGCUUAUUGUUUGUGAAUAAACUACGCAAUGAUAACAAUAUUUAAUUCCAAUUUGAUGACAAAAGUGUUUCUGUAAAGGACCGGAGGACAAGUGAGGUAGUUGUAGUCGGGAAAGCAAGGAACGAGCUCUAUGAACUGGACCUAAAGGAAGAAGAAGGAAACAGGGCUCCGGUGGUAAAUCUGUGUGAACGAGUACCGCUUGAAGUUUGGCAUCGCCGGUUUAGUCAUGUUUGUGAAAAUAAAACAAGAAAAUUGGUCAGUCUGUAUGAUUUACCAGUGUGAAAUAGAAAAUUUAAUUCUUGCAAAGACUGUAUGAUUUCGAAAGCACACAGAUUACCAUACUUCUCAACACACAAAAUCUCUUCCUCUCCACUAGAAUUAAUCUAUAUAGAUGUUUGGGGUCCGACACCUCAGUCUGCGUUGGAUGGUUCAAGAUACUAUUUACCAUUAGUCGAUGAUUACUCAAAGUUAAGUUGGUUUUUCCCGAUGAGAAAUAAAUCAAAAGUCAAAGAAAUUGUUGUCAAUUUUCAAGCCAGAAUCGAGAAAUCAACGGGUAAAUUCAUCAAAUCGUAAAUUUGAUUCAGUUUGUGGCUUAUCUCGAAAAAUUUCUGAAAAUUUAAAAAAUAAGAAAUAAUAAUGAUACGUCAUUGCUGGAGAUAGGUGAUUUAACGAAGGAGUUGCUGGAGCGUCGCCGACGUGAGGAGGAGCAGAGGUCCGACGACCUAAUUUCUGAAAUUGGAGAUGGCGGAGGUCUGGGGCCGUUUGGGGAAGAACCGGGUCUAACCAGCUCUAGACCGGCUCGAGAGAGAAGGGCACCAGGCUAGACUAAAGAUUUCGUGAUGGACUCAGCCCAUUAGCUGAAUUAAUCUUUUAAAUGGUUAAAGGGGUUAUUUGCUGAAAGACCUUAAGUUUUUAUUUUAUUUUAAUUUCGUCCUAUAGUAUAAAGGACUGUAAUGAAUGAUUUAGGGAAUCAAUUAAGAAAUCAAUUAAGAAACCGUUUUGCUGUCAAAUCACCAGCAACGGCCUCCCUUCCGACCUAGGUCGAGUUCACCUCCGAUCACCCUACCGACACCGCCGCUCUCCAUCCGAUCAGCCCACUGAUCUCGCCGUAUCAAGCAUUCUACCGGUCAGCUUAACAGCUAAUCACCGGAAGAACUCAAUCUUGAUUUCAGGAGUAUAUCUCUGAAGUCUGAGCUUAGGAUAUUCUUGAUCUACGAUCAGGGAUCCGAAGCACCUCGUAACAUCAGGUCUAUCUCCCCAUUUUGCUUCCUAAUUAAAUAGGUUGCAUCAUUUGGUGCUUUCAACUUUUUUUUUUUUGAAACUCACUUUACAGGAUGACAACAAUCGAUCUGGCAGCACAUUGAUACGAUGGGUAUUACUUAUGAGAUGAUAUCCAAUGAUGUUCAGAGGAAGAUCAAAGCAGGGGACGCUAAAUCCCUAACUGGAACCGAAUUGGGGGAGGACGACGGUCUGGAGCAGUUUAACUCCCACGAACCCGGUCAGACUCAAGUUGGUGUGAAGAAAUCGGACCGCAUACGAAAGAGGCCGAGCCAUCUUUCGGAUUACGUUGUGGGCUGAGAUGCUGUGAAUUAGUCCAGCAAGUAGAAAGUUAAAUUUAAAUAAAUUGCAGAACAGACCUUAAGUUUAAUUAAAAGUUGUAAUAGGUCAGUAGUAUAAAUGCUGUAAUGAUUGGGGAAAUCAAUAUCGAAAAUUGAACCAGAAUAUUCCGCCUCCUCUCAAUUUCACAACGCAAAAACCCUCCAUCAGGCAUCUCUGUCGACAUCGUUGCCGGAUCUACUUCAACAUCAAGCCGCAUUGAGCACUUUGUUGAUUGGCUUAACAACAUUAAUCAAUCAGGGCUGAGACUCAAUAUCAGGGAAUUUCUCCCGCAGUGUGAGCCUUGGACACCUAGGAUCUUUGAUCUUAGAUCUAAGGCAUCUUCGACCCUCAGGUCAAGUUGUUUCGAUUAAUUGAAAGGUUUAGAACCUUAUCACUGGUGCUUUCAAUAUUUGAUAUCUUAUUUUCAGGAUGACUACUUUGGAUUUAACAACAAAUUCAGAUUUUCAAAGAUUACAAACAUUACAAAUGUCUCAAAUCAAAGAAAUGAAUGAAUUCAGAAACAAUGUCAACAAUAAUUUUCUGGAAUUAGGAAGGCAGAUUGGUGAAAUCUGUGCUACAAUUAAAGGGAGACCCCCAUAUCAGAAUAUCAACAAGAGCUGCUAUGAAAAUGAGGAAAAAACAGAAAAUAAAACAAAAUCCCAAAAUCCAUUCUACCAGUUAGUAGUGGACCUAGACAAUCCCGAUUAUGCCAGCAGUAUCAUGAAUACUGACUCUUACUCUCCUACCAAGCAUAUAAAGGUCAACAUGCCAAGGUUUGAUGGCAAAGAUGUAGAAGGAUGGCUAUUCUUAGUAAGAAGGUAUUUUAUAUUUAAUAAAAUCCCAGAAGAUCAGAAACUUCCUAUUGUUUCAUUUCACCUAGAUGGUAUAGCAAAAAAAUGGUUCGCUUGGCUUGAAGCAAGCAAUAUGUUAUCAUCAUGGAAGAAUUUUGUAGAUACAGUUAUUAGAAAAUUCACAACCUGGCAUUACUCACUACCAGGUGGCAAGUUAAGCAAGCUGUGUCAAGAAGGAACAGUGGCUGAAUAUCAAACUUUAUUUGAAGAGCUGUGCACAAGGGUACUAGGGCUGCUUGAGCAUUUUAUUCUAGAAAUGUACAUCUCGGGUCUCAAAGAAGAAAUUCAGAUGGAUGUGAUGAGAGGCAAACCAUCUGACAUACAUGAGGCAUUUGAGCUAUCACUCAUGUUUGAAGCCAGAAAAUCAGGCUUUAAAGGGAACAACAAGCCUUUUUACACCAAACCAUUCAUACCCAAGACUACAUCAUUCACACCCAAAAAUGAUCAGACUGGAGAAAACACAAAGGAUACUGCCAUACCAGCACCUGUAUUUAAAAGACUAUCUCCUGAGGAGAGAAAGGAGAGGACAGCUAAAGGGUUGUGUUUUAACUGCGAUGACAAAUUUAUUCCCGGCUAUAAAUGCAAAGGAAUUUUUUUCAGAUUAUCAACUGAUGAGUCUUGUUUUUGGGAGAUGGUAGAUGAAGAAGAGAUGGUUGAGGAAGAGCCUGAAAAUAUUAGCACUGAAGAGAAAGAAAUCUGUUAUCACGUGUUUGAAGGACAUAUCAAUGCUGCAACAAUCAGACUAGAUGGCUUUAUAAAGAGUCAGUGUGUUAGUGUGCUGCUAGACACAGGUUUUGCACAUAACUUCAUGCAAACAGAGGUAGCUACAACACUAAAGGUAGUAUCUCAUGUCAUUGUUCCAUUUAAAGUGUCUACUGGAAGUGGGAAACUAAUUUGUGAGGCAGUUUGCAAAGAGGUAGAGAUAAAAAUUCAGAAUACAAUUGUGAAGAUGGAUAUUUUCUUACUUCAGAUGGAAGGAGCCAAUGUAGUUAUUGGGAUCCAAGGAUUAAAAACAUUGGGACCAGUCACUUUUAAUUUUGAUGAACUUAAUAUAUCCUUUCACAAAAAUGAAAAACAGAUUAUUUGGCAAGGAUGUCCAUGGGUUUCUGAGGACCCUUUGUCUGUGGGACAAUUAAAAUGUCUUAUUGCAUCAACACAAGAAGCAUACUUAUGCUACAUGGAGAAGGUAGAAGAAAAUGAAAAAGUUCCCAUGAUGAAUUCAAACAGCCAAGAAGUUACUAAAAUAGUGCAAGAAUAUAAUGACAUUUUUGAGUCUCCAACAGGGUUGCCACCCCAAAGAGACAGAGAUCAUUUUAUACACCUGGAUUGUAAUGCAAACCUUGUCAAUGUGAGACCUUAUAGGUACCCACAAUUCCAGAAAUCAGAAAUUGAAAGAUUAGUGGCAGAAAUGCUAAAUCAGGAGAUCAUCAAGCCUAGCAACAGUCCAUACUCAUCCCCAACAUUAUUAGUAAAAAAGAAGGAUGGGGGUUAUAGAUUGUGUGUGGACUAUAGGGCUUUAAAUGCUCUAACUAUCAAAGAUAAGUUCCCUAUUCCUACUGUGGAUGAGCUUUUAGGGGAACUUAAGGGAUCUAAUUUUUUUUCAAAAUUAGAUCUAAGAUCUGGAUUCCACUAGAUCAGAGUGCACCCACCACACACUAAAAGGAGAGCAUUCAGGACACACCAGGGGCAUUUUGAAUUCUUAGUGAUGCCAUUUGGGCUCACAAAUGCACCAACAACCUUCCAAUCAGUUAUGAACUCAGUUUUUGAGAAAUAUUUAAGAAAGUUUGUUAUUAUAUUUUUUGAUGACAUAUUAGUAUUCAGCUCAUCAUUACAGGACCAUCUCACAUAUUUACAGAAAGUAUUUGAAACUCUGAGGGAAAACAGACUACUAGCAAAGCGGUCCAAAUGUUCAUUUGGGAAAGAAUCUAUGGGUUUCUUGGGACACAUUAUUAAAUCUGAUGGGGUACAUCCUGACCCUGAAAAGAUAACAGCAAUGGUGGAAUGGCCAAUUCCAAAGAACCUUAAAAUGCUAAGGGGAUUCUAGGGGCUGACUGGCUACUAUAGGAGGUUCAUUAAGAGCUAUGCUCAGAUAGCUGCUCUUAUGACAGAUUUGUUGAAGAAAGACUCUUUUAAAUGGGGUGACAUAGCCCAAGAUAGCUUUGAGAAAUUAAAAACUGCCAUGGUAUCAGCUUCAGUACUGAGGUACCCUGACUUUAGUCAACAGUUUAUUGUUGAGACAGAUGCUUGCAACAAUGGGGUAGGGGCAGUAUUAAUUCAGAAUAAGCACCCUAUAUCAUUUUUCUGCAGAAAAAUAACGGGUAAACUCAGUUCAGCAGCAAUCUACGUGAAGGAAAUGUAUGCUAUAACACAUGCAGUAGCCAAGUGGAGACACUACCUAUUGGGAUCUCAUUUCCUGAUUAAAACUGAUCAUAGAAGUCUGAAAAACCUCCUAACUCAAGUGAUUCAGACACCUGAGCAGCAAAUGUUUUUGGUAAAAUUGUUGGGAUUUGAUUUUAGCAUACUGUAUAAGCCAGGCAAGGAAAACAUCGUGGCCGAUGCUCUAUCCAGAUCGUUUGAGGAAGGAGAGAGUGAAGAAAUUAUAUUCUCUAGUGGAGCUGAAGGGAAACCAGAGUCCUUAUUAUCAUUCUCCAUUUCUAUAAAUGACUUGCUAGAAGAAAUUAAGAAAGAAAAUGAAGAAGAUCCCAAGGUACAGAGUAUUAUUAACACCUCUAUAGAGGAAGGCCAGGAUUUUAAUGGGUAUAAGGUGAAAUCAGGAUUUUUUUUUUUUAAGGGCAGAUAUUAUAUAAAACAGGAUUCAACACUUAUUUCCAAGAUCCUGGGAGAAUUUCACAACUUAUUAGCAGGAAUGCAUGCUGGUGUAAUGAAGACUAAGAAGAGAAUAUGCAAGCUAUUCUAUUGGCCUAAAAUGGGACUGGAUAUAUAUAAUUAUGUAAAAAAUUGCAUAAUCUGUCAGAAGAUGAAACCUUCCAACCAGAAACCAUCUGGCUUACUCAUGCCUCUACCUAUACCAUCUACCACAUGGAAAGAUGUAAGCAUAGACUUCAUAACUGAUUUACCAAAAAAAGAAGGAAAAACUGUAAUAAUGGUGGUAGUGGAUCGUUUAUCCAAGUAUGCUCACUUCAGUGCACUACCUACAAAUUUCAAUGCUGUCAAAGUAGCAGAGGUGUUUCUGAGGGAUAUUAUUAAACUUCAUGGGAUACCCACCUCAAUUGUAUCAAAUAGGGAUAGAAUUUUCACUUCCAAAUUUUGGAAGGAAUUGCACAAACUAAGUGGAACUAAACUAUCCUACUCUUCAGCCUACCAUCCAGAAACUGAUGGCCAGACAGAAGUGGUAAAUAGAACUCUGAAAAUGUACCUAAGGUCAUACUGUCAUGAUGACCCCAAGCAAUGGUUAAGGUUGCUGCCUUGGGCAGAACUGUGGUAUAACUCCGGAUAUCACUCAUCUCUUGGAAUGUCACCAUUCAAGGUUGUUUAUGGCAAAGAGGCUGGUGAAUUACCUCAUUAUAUUGAAGGAGAGUCACAAGUGGAAUCAGUAGAUAUGAUGUUAAAUUUGAGAGAAGAAACACUAGAAAUUAUGAAGAGAAAUCUACUAAAAGCUCAGGCAAGAAUGAAGUCCCAAGCCGAUAAAAAGAGAUCUGAAAUUAUAUUUGAAGUAGGAGCCUUGGUUCUGGUUAAAUUGCAGCCAUAUAGGCAAAAUUCAGUGGCCAACAGAACUCACAACAAAUUAUGUCAAAAGUACUUUGGUCCUUAUGAGAUUGAAAAGGUAAUAAACAAGGCUGCUUACAGAUUGAAACUCCCUGAAGGAAGCAAGAUACAUAACACCUUCCACGUUUCCAGAUUGAAGGCUUUCUGUGGUCCAAUUCCGAAAAAUCUGUCCAAGGAAGAUCCAAUAGUAGCAAUCAACAAUCAAUCCAUUUCUUACCCAAUUGCAAUACUGGAUAACAGGGUUAUAUGGCAAGGAAAGAAAAAGGUAAAGCAGGUAUUAAUUCUAUGGAACGGCGCCUUACCUGAAGACUCAUCUUGGGAGUCAGUUGUGGAUAUCGCGAACAGGUUUCCUUUUUUAAACCUUGAGGACAAGGUUGUUUCGGAAGAGGGUGGUGAUAAUUAAAUAGGUUGCAUCAAAUAACUUAAAAAUUUAUUAAUAUCAAAUAAAUAUAUCCUUAUACCUUUCAUUUUUCCGAUCUUACUUGUCUCAAUUUAUUCAAAAAUUGAGAUUUGCUGACAUGAGACGGAAGAAUUGCUAAAAUUUCUUCUUCACUCAUAUUUGGAUCUCAGCCAUAUUGUUUUAUCAAAGAAUUAUGAUUGUUUUUCCAAAGUUUGUUUAACUUAUGAUUGAUAUAAGUUUGUACCGCUUAACUUUCACUCAAAUCAUAUUCAUCCUAUAUAUUCAAAACUUAUGAGUUUUGAAAAAUUAAUAAAUAUUUAAAUGAGCACGUGUAUAUAUAUUCUUACAGUUAAUAUUUUCAACGCGUCUCGAAAAUUCUGUUUAGGUUGAUGACGUCACUCAAUGUGUACGGAAAUAGUGAUUGUCUUUUGCUAAAUGACCCAUCCGUAUAAUCAAUUUCUUUGCUAUUUCGUCUAUCGCUUGGUUUGUAUCAUCGAACAUAACUUCCCAUUUUGUACCUGAUUCUAGAUGGUUAUGGGGGUGGUCUUUCGUGCAACUACGACUCUUUUUCUUCGGAGGAAUAUUAGAUAUGGAUGGUGUACAUCUAAUUUACAUAUUUAAUAUUUAAUAAAAUGAUAAUAUUAUAAUUUUAAAAAAUACAAACCACCACUUUCAAAGUCACGACCGGAUGUAACCAUCGUUAAUGUCAGAAACGGUGCGAUAACACAGGCGAAAACGAAAAAAGUAAACAUAAUCUAAAAUAUUACAAUUUUAAAAUAAAAUUAGUUAAUUCAAAUACAUACCUAAACACCCGUAUGCGGGAUUUUAGUCUGAUACAACAACCAAACAUUUUUUCUAUUAUAAUUUACAUUGUUUAUUAUCAUACACAACAAAUCUUCGAAAUCGUCGUGAGGAGAGUUGUAUUCAAUUUUGAAUGAAUAUGUGUCUCUAUAAUCAUUCAACACUCUUGUUUCAUAUCCUAACACUAAAAUUUGACUAGUUUUUAUUGUUUGAGGAUUUUUCGAUUAUAUUUUAGAACAAUCGUGAAAAUGAUGACCGUUGACUCCACAACGGAAACAAACAAAAACACGACAAUAAUAAUUUAUGUUUUUGUAAAAACUACGUUGAAUCCGACUUAGUCGCUCAAGUCGUUCAUAUCAUUCGACGAUUGCAAAUAGUUGAAUCAUUUUUUAUUGAAAAAAAAAGAAUUUUUUUACAAUCAUCAUAUUAUAUUAGAGCCAGCUUCUAAUGAAAACCUAAUAUGUGAGAAUUAUUUGAAAACUUUAGAUCUAGACCAUUACAUCUUGAUUUAAGGGUGAUCUUUUUAUUUUAUAUUUAAUUUAUAUAAGGGUGAUAAUCCCCAUAUAUGUAGUAUUUUUUAUGUGAUUUUUCUCUCACUACAUUCUUUUAUCCCAUGUUUAUUUUACUUUUCAUUUUUUUCAUUACUUUACCAUUUUCUCUCACCACAUCAUAUUUUCUUUCUCAACCUUCUUCUUCUCCUCUUCCUUCCUCCUUUCACCAUUUUCUCAACCAUCGUAUCUUCCUCUAACCAUCUAAUCCCUAACGUUUUGGAACUAUACACUAUCGAAAUAUGCAAUGUCGGACUAUGUACUAUCGAAUUAUACAAUGUCGGACUAUACACUAUCGAACUAUGCACUGUCAUUACACACUUUACCAUUUUCUGUCACCACAUCAUAUCUUCUUCUUCAACCUUCUUCUUCUCCUCUUCCUUCCUCCUUUUACCAUUUUCUCAACCAUCGAAUCUUCCACUAACUAUCUAAUCCCUAACGUUUUGGAGCUCUGCACUAUCAAACUAUGCAAUGUCGGACUAUGCACUAUUGAAUCAUGCAAUGUCGGACUAUACACUAAUACUAUCGAACUAUGCACUGUCAUUGCGAUAGUAAUUAAAUUAUUUUUUCAUUUCUAUGUAACACUAUUUAUGUUAUUUAAAAAUUGUAAAAAUGUUAAUUAUUAUUUUUAAUUUUAUAAAGAUGGUAAACAACUAAACAUAAGAUAGAAUGGUGGAUGUUUUAAUUUUUUUUUGACUAUUUGUAAUGUUUUUAAUUAUUAAAGUAUUUAACUAUUAUAAAUUUAUAAUUGACAGAAUAUCCCGGCUCGGCCCGGCCCGUAUAGGUGAUCAUUGGGGUUGAGUCCUUAAAUAGAUGUCAAAUAAUUUUAAUCGAUUUAAGGGAUCAUUCACUACAAAAAACCAACGCAUAUAAGAACUUGAUAAACAUGUAACUUACAUUGAUGUUAAGAAAACAGUAUGUGAACGACAAUUAAAAUGAAUAAAUGGAUGGUUGUACGUGCAUGAAAAAUCAGAAAUCAACGAUGGAUUAUCUCUCAUGAAUAUAUAAAAUAGUACGUUUAUCUCUACAUAACUACAUACAAUUGUCUCAAAAAAAAAUUUACGAAGCAAUAAUGAAACCAGAUUACAUGUCUAAUUAAACAACAUAUGACUAAAAACCAGGCGUGGCCGAAAGGGGGUGAACCAAGCCAGAAAGAAGACCAACGAGUGCAGCCGUGUUGUAUGUCUUGGGUUCGGCUUGCAUGGAGUUAUUUCGGAAAUCAAUAUAGGAGUCAUUUUUAAAAGGUCCGCCAACAAGUGCACCCACAGCAACAUUGGGGUUAGGUUCUUCAGAAGUGAACCAUUUGUAGCCCUUGCAACCUGUUUCGACCUCUGCAGGUAUGGAAGCUCCUCUAUGGUGCACCUGUUUAGGAUAAUCCUCUGUAUACCCAACAAGAUAACUGAGCUGCAUUGGAUUGUUUCCGAGUAUGUAAUCGGCUUGCGAUUUGGCGAAUCGACGAAUGUCUUUCGACGUGAAAUCCUUGUCGUGGCAUUUGAUGGAAUCUGUUUUCGAAGUUUUCAUAUAGUCGCUGAAGAGCAGGGUAAUGAAUGAUGCAGAAACCGAGUGUUGGAGGGAACCAUUCUCUUGUAUCCACAACAACCCUUCUGAAAUUCGUUUAAUUUACUUAUAAUAUUUCAUUUCGUCACAGCCAAAUCCUAAGCCUAAGUCGAUUUACGUACCUUUGGUUCUGCUGUCGGAGGCGAUUGGAGAAUCGGGCAAAAAUUGGCAUAUCAUCAAUUCUGCUGAUUCUCUGUACUUUUGCAGACCUUCGGUUUCUUCUAUGGUGUACACUCCGUCUUCGUCAAGGAAGCUUGUUCGAGACAAAAGGACCUGUGAAGAUUGAAAUCAUCAAGUCUAAUGCAUAUAUAUAUUUAUUAUUUAUCCAUAGUCUAUGGGAUUAUAUAUAUAGAAUAGUUAGAUCAAACUUUACUUGAGUACCGGCGAGUUUGUCGUCCCAGCUGAACCAUGUUGACCUCCCCCAGUCGGCAAAAGAUUUUCUAUGUUUAACAGUGACAUAUUGUAGGUAGGAGUCUUUUCCAGUAGCAUGAUAGAGCCAGACGGCCGCCCAUAGAAGUUCGUCUGUGUAACCACUAGAAUUGUAGUACGGCUGAACUUGAGGUAUAUUAAUGCUGUAAGAUCCUUUGAAUUCAUCGGCGAAACUGAACAAAGACUCUGAAUGUUUGAGGAGGAGAGUAGAAUAUGAUGGAUCUCCACGCCUGAACACGAUGGAUGCAGCUGCCAGAGCUGCGGCUGUUUCUGCCGCAACUUCUGUGCCAGGAAACGUUUGGUUGAUUUGGAGAAGAGGUCUUUCCUCUGUCAUUUCUUCUGGUCUUUCCCAACAUUUGUGGUCUAUUUUUGGAUCUCCCACCUAUUGGGAAUUAAAAAUCAAUAAUCAACAACACAUGAUUUAUCAAUAGAUAAUUAUAUAUUUAUAUAUAUUACCUGUACGAAGAGAACAUUCUUUCUAGGGUUUGCGUUAACAAGAUAAUUUGUGAUCCACUUAAGUGUGUCUCUGGUGUUUAUCAAUUCGCCAAUAAGAAUCAUAUUGGGGUGAUAUUCAAGAAUCGCCCAUGACAGAACUGUCGCUGUGAAGGCCAUCGGAAAACCAAACUUUACAUGAUCUCCGGCAUCGUACAUUCCCUUGGAGAGAUCCAACAUCUCGUACUUCCCAUCACUAAGCGCCGAGUCCCCUCUCCAUGGGAUCAUAUCAUUCAUCAGCUUCCCGGCUAGACGUACCGAUCCAGGGUGAUAUCGAUCGAAUAUUAAUUGAAUUCAUGAUAAUUAAGGUAUUAAAUAUUAACAUAGAAGCUAGGCACAGACGUACAUACAUUUUUGGACGUCGAAGAAUUUCAAUGCGACGGAGAGGGCUUCAGAAUAUUUCUUCUCUGUGACGAUAUCUUGAGGACCUAGGGUCGGUGGAUCAAUGUUACUGG